CUGGGAGUAGUUUCUUAACCGCUUUCGGCUGUUGGUCGCAGGGCUACCGGCCUACAGUCCCAGCAAGCGCCGGGCUGCGGGGUGGUGAGCAGUCCCGGAGGGAGGCGCAAGCCGUGUGGACCUCUCUGCUUCCAAACCUAUGCUGGCCACUGAUUCUGUGCCAUCCCUGGCUAAGGGGAGUGAGUCCAGAGAGGGACUUAAGGGGCAAGUCGGGGCUGGGCAGUGAGAAGAGUGUGACGCUGCGAAGUGCACCUCAUCUUUGCCUAAAUCGGGCGGGUCUCAGCCUCACCCCACCUCUCGCUGCUCAGCUCGGUUUCCCUCCAGAGCAUCACGCCUCCUCCAGCACAGGAGCCGCCUGCUUUCCUAGGCUGCUGUGGAACUGGCCUGAGGUCCCAGACGCUGUCCAUUGUGCUGCCGCCCUCCGCGCUCUCCAGCCAGAGCGCCAGUUCACCGGCUUUUGGGAGAACUCCGCCGCCUCACCUGCCCGCGGACAAGGGCUGCACCCCAUGGACCUGGGUUCCUGGAGUCUUUGACGGCUUUGUGUGGUCGACUUGUUUUGAUACUGAGGACACCCCUGCUGGCUGUUAAUUUCAGGGCAAGGGAUAUGAGGCCAUUAUUUUAAGUGAAAUAACUCAAGAAUGGAAAAUAAAAUACUAUUAUUUUUCACUUAUAA
Molecule: long non-coding RNA, 673 nt
Organism: Homo sapiens (human)
Lineage: Eukaryota; Metazoa; Chordata; Mammalia; Primates; Hominidae
Source: Ensembl